Molecule: ribosomal RNA, 494 nt
Filed under: uncultured bacterium
Lineage: Bacteria
Description: partial 16S ribosomal RNA
Rfam family: Bacterial small subunit ribosomal RNA
Source: RNAcentral
GAACGCUGGCGGCGUGCCUAAUACAUGCAAGUCGAGCGAACAGACGAGGAGCUUGCUCCUCUGACGUUAGCGGCGGACGGGUGAGUAACACGUGGAUAACCUACCUAUAAGACUGGGAUAACUUCGGUAAACCGGAGCUAAUACCGGAUAAUAUAUUGAACCGCAUGGUUCAAUAGUGAAAGACGGUUUUGCUGUCACUUAUAGAUGGAUCCGCGCCGCAUUAGCUAGUUGGUAAGGUAACGGCUUACCAAGGCGACGAUGCGUAGCCGACCUGAGAGGGUGAUCGGCCACACUGGAACUGAGACACGGUCCAGACUCCUACGGGAGGCAGCAGUAGGGAAUCUUCCGCAAUGGGCGAAAGCCUGACGGAGCAACGCCGCGUGAGUGAUGAAGGUCUUCGGAUCGUAAAACUCUGUUAUUAGGGAAGAACAAAUGUGUAAGUAACUAUGCACGUCUUGACGGUACCUAAUCAGAAAGCCACGGCUAACUACGUG